CAGUAGCCGCGGUAAUACGUAGGUGGCAAGCGUUGUCCGGAAUUAUUGGGCGUAAAGGGCUCGCAGGCGGUUUCUUAAGUCUGAUGUGAAAGCCCCCGGCUCAACCGGGGAGGGUCAUUGGAAACUGGGAAACUUGAGUGCAGAAGAGGAGAGUGGAAUUCCACGUGUAGCGGUGAAAUGCGUAGAGAUGUGGAGGAACACCAGAGGCGAAGGCGACUCUCUGGUCUGUAACUGACGCUGAGGAGCGAAAGCGUGGGGAGCGAACAGGAUUAGAUACCCCUGUAGUCCCUGUCUCUUAUAC
This 301-nucleotide ribosomal RNA is filed under the name uncultured bacterium. RNAcentral describes it as "partial 16S ribosomal RNA". It matches the Rfam family "Bacterial small subunit ribosomal RNA", at positions 509 to 807 of the family's 1533-position model. The record is from RNAcentral.